AUUGAACGCUGGCGGCAUGCCUUACACAUGCAAGUCGAACGGCAGCACGGGGCAACCUGGUGGCGAGUGGCGAACGGGUGAGUAAUGCAUCGGAACGUGCCAUUGAGUGGGGAGUAACGUAGCGAAAGUUAGCGCUAAUACCGCAUAUUCUGUGAGCAGGAAAGCAGGGACCGCAAGGCCUUGCGCUCUUUGAGCGGCCGAUGUCAGAUUAGCUAGUUGGUGAGGUAAAGGCUUACCAAGGCGACGAUCUGUAGCGGGUCUGAGAGGAUGAUCCGCCACACUGGAACUGAGACACGGUCCAGACUCCUACGGGAGGCAGCAGUGGGGAAGUUUUGGACAAUGGGCGCAAGCCUGAUCCAGCCAUGCCGCGUGAGUGAAGAAGGCCUCGGUU
This 391-nucleotide ribosomal RNA is filed under the name uncultured bacterium. Its description in RNAcentral is "bacterial SSU rRNA". It matches the Rfam family "Bacterial small subunit ribosomal RNA", at positions 30 to 424 of the family's 1533-position model. The record is from RNAcentral.